This 585-nucleotide ribosomal RNA is filed under the name proteobacterium enrichment culture clone WIP20m10H. RNAcentral's name for it is "bacterial SSU rRNA". It matches the Rfam family "Bacterial small subunit ribosomal RNA", at positions 133 to 695 of the family's 1533-position model. The record is from RNAcentral. Lineage: Bacteria; Pseudomonadati; Pseudomonadota.
UGCAUCUGGGAUAACACUUCGAAAGGGGUGCUAAUACCGGAUACACUCAUAUGCCGCAAGGUGUAUGAGGAAAGGAGACCUCUCCUUGGAAGUUUCUGUGUAGAGAUGAGCCUGCGUCCCAUUAGCUAGUUGGCAGGGUAAAGGCCUACCAAGGCUACGAUGGGUAGCGGGUCUGAGAGGAUGAUCCGCCACACUGGAACUGAAACACGGACCAGACUCCUACGGGAGGCAGCAGUGAGGAAUAUUGGACAAUGGGCGCAAGCCUGAUCCAGCGACGCCGCGUGAGUGAUGAAGGCCUUUGGGUCGUAAAGCUCUGUCAGCAGGGAAGAACGGCCGUGCGGUUAAUACCCGUGCGGAUUGACGGUACCUGCAGAGGAAGCACCGGCUAACUCCGUGCCAGCAGCCGCGGUAAUACGGAGGGUGCGAGCGUUAAUCGGAAUUACUGGGCGUAAAGGGCGCGUAGGCGGCCAAUCAAGUCAGAUGUGAAAGCCCACGGCUUAACCGUGUGAAGUGCAUCUGAAACUGGUAGGCUUGAGUAUCGGAGANGAAAGUGGAAUUCCCGGUGUAGAGGUGAAAUUCGUAAAU